RNAcentral lists this ribosomal RNA (445 nucleotides) under uncultured bacterium. RNAcentral describes it as "partial 16S ribosomal RNA". It matches the Rfam family "Bacterial small subunit ribosomal RNA", at positions 354 to 796 of the family's 1533-position model. The record is from RNAcentral.
GUAAGGAAUAUUGGACAAUGGACGCAAGUCUGAUCCAGCCAUGCCGCGUGAAGGAUUAAGGUCCUCUGGAUUGUAAACUUCUUUUAUAAGGGACGAAAAAAGGCUUUUCUAAGUCGUCUGACGGUACCUUAUGAAUAAGCACCGGCUAACUCCGUGCCAGCAGCCGCGGUAAUACGGAGGGUGCAAGCGUUAUCCGGAUUCACUGGGUUUAAAGGGUGCGUAGGCGGGCAGGUAAGUCAGUGGUGAAAUCCUAGAGCUUAACUCUAGAACUGCCAUUGAUACUAUCUGUCUUGAAUAUUGUGGAGGUAAGCGGAAUAUGUCAUGUAGCGGUGAAAUGCUUAGAUAUGACAUAGAACACCUAUUGCGAAGGCAGCUUACUACGCAUAUAUUGACGCUGAGGCACGAAAGCGUGGGGAUCAAACAGGGUUAGAUACCCGAGUAGUCC